This 498-nucleotide ribosomal RNA is filed under the name uncultured bacterium. RNAcentral's name for it is "partial 16S ribosomal RNA". It matches the Rfam family "Bacterial small subunit ribosomal RNA", at positions 28 to 507 of the family's 1533-position model. The record is from RNAcentral.
GAUGAACGCUGGCGGCGUGCCUAAUACAUGCAAGUCGAGCGAACGGACGAGAAGCUUGCUUCUCUGAUGUUAGCGGCGGACGGGUGAGUAACACGUGGAUAACCUACCUAUAAGACUGGGAUAACUUCGGGAAACCGGAGCUAAUACCGGAUAAUAUUUUGAACCGUAUGGUUCAAAAGUGAAAGACGGUCUUGCUGCUACUAAUAGAUGCAUCCGCGCUUGAUUAGCUAGUUGGUAAGGUAACGGCGUAACAAGGCAACGAUGGAUAGCCGAACGGGGAGGGUGAUGGGCCAAACUGGGAGUGAGACAGGGCAAAGAGUGCUAGGGGGGGGAGAAGGAGGGGAUUUUCGGAAAUGGAUGGAAGGCUGAACGAGCAAGGACGAGGGAGUGAAGAAGGUUGUCGGGUCGUAAAGCUCUGUUGUAAGAGAAGAACGAGGGUGAGAGUGGAAAGUUCACACUGUGACGGUACCUUACCAGAAAGGGACGGCUAACUACGUG